This 253-nucleotide ribosomal RNA is filed under the name uncultured bacterium. Its description in RNAcentral is "partial 16S ribosomal RNA". It matches the Rfam family "Bacterial small subunit ribosomal RNA", at positions 524 to 776 of the family's 1533-position model. The record is from RNAcentral.
UACGGAGGGAGCUAGCGUUGUUCGGAAUUACUGGGCGUAAAGCGCGCGUAGGCGGCUUUGUAAGUUAGAGGUGAAAGCCCGGGGCUCAACCCCGGAACUGCCUUUGAAACUGGAAGGCUUGAAUCUUGGAGAGGCGAGUGGAAUUCCGAGUGUAGAGGUGAAAUUCGUAGAUAUUCGGAAGAACACCAGUGGCGAAGGCGACUCGCUGGACAAGUAUUGACGCUGAGGUGCGAAAGCGUGGGGAGCAAACAGG